RNAcentral lists this transfer RNA (76 nucleotides) under candidate division WWE3 bacterium. RNAcentral describes it as "tRNA-Pro". It matches the Rfam family "tRNA". Rfam says of the family: Transfer RNA (tRNA) molecules are approximately 80 nucleotides in length. Their secondary structure includes four short double-helical elements and three loops (D, anti-codon, and T loops). The record is from RNAcentral. Lineage: Bacteria; candidate division WWE3.
CGGGGUGUAGCUCAGUUGGUAGAGUGCACGUUUCGGGUACGUGAGGCCGGCGGUUCGAGUCCGCCCACCCCGACCA